Long non-coding RNA from Sinocyclocheilus rhinocerous, 496 nucleotides. RefSeq lists it as uncharacterized. Lineage: Eukaryota; Metazoa; Chordata; Actinopteri; Cypriniformes; Cyprinidae. The transcript has 5 exons. The record is from RefSeq and is a predicted model, not a curated record.
CGCUGUUGGGUUCCCGGACCCCUCUCUCUGUGGAGAACACCUGGAGCACAUCCUCCAUACAGUUUAAUUCAUGUUUGACCCGCCACUGAUGGAUCAUCUGUUCACCUUCAACAGUGUCCUAUGCUGUUUUGUGAAGCUCGCGAUGCUUUUUAUCACUCUACUGUUCCACGCCAUUGACUUACUGACGUCUUACUGCAGGCGACAUGGAAAUAUGGAGGAGACACUCUCAUGCUGAAGCAAUUGCAGAUUAAAUCGGUCUCGGUCUGCAGUAGAUACUAGAGGAAAGACACCACCCUCUUCUGUGUUUGGGGUACAACACUAGAGACUGGACCAAAGAAGUCAGAGGGGUGAUCUUCAUGUAAAUUGAUUUGGUAUGGAACUCAAGACUGGAUUUUCCUCUCACACCAGAAGUACCUUAUUUUAAAGAGACACACUGGAGCUCAAAAUGGAGUUGGUAACUUAAACUGAUGAUCAUUUAAAUAAAAAAUUAGGUGAC